GAUGAGCGCGCUGAUAACCGGCAAAAUAGCUCAAAAGAUGGAAAAUGUAUUAAGUUGUAAGAUAAAAAGAAAUGAAACUACUGGAGGUGGGAUUUUAUCGGUAUUAACUUAUAAUUUACAUUACCAUUAUGGAUAGUUUCCACCUUUAUAACUUUAAACGUCAGCUAGUUUACCUCGGUCAUAAUUCUAAUUCUACGUAUGACGUUUCUUCAAACUCAGAUUUAUCAGGGGGUUUCGACUUGAAGGAUAGACGUCAAGUUUUAUUUUUUAGAAAAAUCUUAAAUCAUCGCGUUAAAAUUGUUAUAAAUUAAGUAAUUAUACUGUAGAUAUAGUUAGUUAGUGUUUGAACAUUAAUUUAGUAGUUAAUUUAAAAGUUAAAACGGGAUAAUACGUUAGUAGUGAAUUAGAAAUACUAAGGACUUUUCUAUUCAGGAGCUAUGAGCUUAAGCCCAGAUGUACCUCAGGUACGGCUCUUGAAUAUUCAAGUCUAUAUUCACGGAUCCUGGCCGGAUAGCCCUGGCAGCUAAGGCCAUUCAAAUGAAGAGAAGAAGAAGAAGAAGAU
Molecule: long non-coding RNA, 562 nt
Organism: Diabrotica virgifera virgifera (western corn rootworm)
Lineage: Eukaryota; Metazoa; Arthropoda; Insecta; Coleoptera; Chrysomelidae
Exons: 2
Source: RefSeq, a predicted model, not a curated record